AGUGAACGCUGGCGGUAGGCCUAACACAUGCAAGUCGAACGGCAGCACAGUAAGAUCUUUCUCUUACGGGUGGCGAGUGGCGGACGGGUGAGGAAUACAUCGGAAUCUACUUUUUCGUGGGGGAUAACGUAGGGAAACUUACACUAAUACCGCAUACGACCUACGGGUGAAAGCAGUGGAUCUUCGGACCUUGCGCGAUUGAAUUAGCCGAUGUCGGAUUAGCUAGUUGGCGGGGUAAAGGCCCACCAAGGCGACGAUCCGUAGCUGGUCUGAGAGGAUGAUCAGCCACACUGGAACUGAGACACGGUCCAGACUCCUACGGGAGGCAGCAGUGGGGAAUAUUGGACAAAGGGCGCAAGCCUGAUCCAGCAACACCGCGUGGGUGAAGAAGGCCUUCGGGUUGUAAAGCCCUUUUGUUGGGAAAGAAAAGCAGCAGGUUAAUACCCCGCUGUUCUGACGGUACCCAAAGAAUAAGCACCGGCUAACUUCGUG
Molecule: ribosomal RNA, 492 nt
Filed under: uncultured bacterium
Lineage: Bacteria
Description: partial 16S ribosomal RNA
Rfam family: Bacterial small subunit ribosomal RNA
Source: RNAcentral